AGGGAUGUAGCUCAGCAGUACAGCAUCUGCUUUGAAUGCAGAAAGUCCCAGGUUCAAGUCCCGGCAUCUCCA
Molecule: non-coding RNA, 72 nt
Organism: Podarcis lilfordi (Lilford's wall lizard)
Lineage: Eukaryota; Metazoa; Chordata; Lepidosauria; Squamata; Lacertidae
Source: the annotation of a GenBank genome assembly